UACAGAGGUCUCAAGCGUUGUUCGGAUUCAUUGGGCGUAAAGGGUGCGUAGGCGGCGCGGUAAGUCGGGUGUGAAAUCGAGCUUAACUCCGAAACUGCAUUCGAUACUGCCGUGCUUGAGGACUGGAGAGGAGACUGGAAUUUACGGUGUAGCAGUGAAAUGCGUAGAUAUCGUAAGGAAGACCAGUGGCGAAGGCGAAUCUCUGGACAGUUACUGACACUGAGGCACGAAGGCCAGGGGAGCAAACGGG
This 250-nucleotide ribosomal RNA is filed under the name uncultured bacterium. Its description in RNAcentral is "partial 16S ribosomal RNA". It matches the Rfam family "Bacterial small subunit ribosomal RNA", at positions 524 to 776 of the family's 1533-position model. The record is from RNAcentral.